RNAcentral lists this small RNA (292 nucleotides) under human gut metagenome. RNAcentral describes it as "5' ureB small RNA". It matches the Rfam family "5' ureB small RNA". The record is from RNAcentral.
GGCCUGCUGUGGUGCCACAUGGUGCACAUGGCCAUCAAUGCCUGCUGCGGUAAGUAUGAGGUGCUCGCCGGAGAUGGCGUCGGUGCUUGCUCCUGUGCAGAGAGUCGGGGUGACACCCUUCAUGACAUUCGGGUUUCCGGCUUUGCCUAUGCCCGCGAUUUUGCCGUCCUUGAUGCCGACAUCGGCCUUUACCACUCCCAGCACAGGGUCAAGAAUGGUUACAUUGGUGAUAACAGUGUCGAGACUGCCUUCCUUUCCUGUUAUGGUGUUCGCCAGGCCCAUGCCGUCGCGC